ACGAAGCUCCUGGGUAAAUCCUAGGGGAAGGUGUAUCACACUGCUGAGACUGGUUUAGAGCAAGCCAAGUACACCACAAAGCUUUCUGGUGUAUAGCUGGCGGACUGUGGAGUCAUUUCACAGGUAGUACACAAGAGAGCGGUGGAGGAUCAGAGGACGAAUUGG
Molecule: long non-coding RNA, 165 nt
Organism: Electrophorus electricus (electric eel)
Lineage: Eukaryota; Metazoa; Chordata; Actinopteri; Gymnotiformes; Gymnotidae
Source: RefSeq, a predicted model, not a curated record